UGCAUGCUCCCCUUCUCCUCGGGGCCACCCUUGUCUGCCUGGGAGCCCGGGCUGCUGUGCCCUGGGCUCCUCUUCACUGCUCUGAUCAUAUAAACCUGCAAAUGUUGGUCUAGUCUCCAUGGGCCCAUUGUGGGGUCACUCUCAGACACUUUCAGGGACCAGGCAGGUGAGCCUUGAUGAGUGGGAGAGCAAAAUGCCAUGCAUAAAAGGCUCAGCCACUGCGCAGCUCCGGCCACAUGGAAAGGGGAAGCCUCGUAACAAGGACUUUAGAGCCACGACAGUGACAACACUACCUGAGACCGAGAUCUUCACUUUGUCACUUCCCCUGCCCUGAUUGACAUCCCUCCACAGCUUCCUGGUUUUCCCUAAGAGCACUCCUUCAGUAAGGCACCAGCACCAGAAUCCCUACCUCAGUCUCUGCUUCUGGGUGCCUGACCUAAGGCAACAAGGGGAGUUUAUGGUUCCCUCCUUCUUUGACUUUUGUAUGUCUUGGUUCAGAACUUGGACUUGAAUCCUCAAAAAGCCUUACCACUCAUACCCGCCAGUCCACCUUGGACUACUCACCAGAGGUGUCAUGGGGAAGGGGUACAUCCUUUCUCCUGGCUGAACAUGGGGCCCUUGAACUGGACAAACAGACUGUGAGCAGAUAGGACUGGAGGCUGAACACUCAAGCAGCACAGCCCUGUACACGUAUCUGACCCUGGAACUUCCCCUGGCUGUGGGCUUUAGG
Molecule: long non-coding RNA, 730 nt
Filed under: Mustela putorius furo (domestic ferret)
Lineage: Eukaryota; Metazoa; Chordata; Mammalia; Carnivora; Mustelidae
Description: lncRNA (ENSMPUG00000028107.1)
Source: RNAcentral